AGAGUUUGAUCCUGGCUCAGAUUGAACGCUGGCGGCAUGCCUUACACAUGCAAGUCGAACGGUAACGCGGGGCAACCUGGCGACGAGUGGCGAACGGGUGAGUAAUACAUCGGAACGUGCCCAGUAGUGGGGGAUAGCCCGGCGAAAGCCGGAUUAAUACCGCAUACGACCUACGGGUGAAAGCAGGGGAUCGCAAGACCUUGCGCUAUUGGAGCGGCCGAUGUCAGAUUAGGUUGUUGGUGGGGUAAAAGCCUACCAAGCCGACGAUCUGUAGCUGGUCUGAGAGGACGACCAGCCACACUGGGACUGAGACACGGCCCAGACUCCUACGGGAGGCAGCAGUGGGGAAUUUUGGACAAUGGGCGCAAGCCUGAUCCAGCCAUGCCGCGUGCGGGAAGAAGGCCUUCGGGUUGUAAACCGCUUUUGUCAGGGAAGAAACGCUCCGGGUUAAUACCCUGGGGUAAUGACGGUACCGAAGAAUAGCCCC
This 487-nucleotide ribosomal RNA is filed under the name uncultured Rubrivivax sp. RNAcentral describes it as "bacterial SSU rRNA". It matches the Rfam family "Bacterial small subunit ribosomal RNA", at positions 8 to 494 of the family's 1533-position model. Lineage: Bacteria; Pseudomonadati; Pseudomonadota; Betaproteobacteria; Burkholderiales; Sphaerotilaceae. The record is from RNAcentral.